RNAcentral lists this ribosomal RNA (352 nucleotides) under uncultured Methanobacterium sp. RNAcentral describes it as "bacterial SSU rRNA". It matches the Rfam family "Archaeal small subunit ribosomal RNA", at positions 327 to 683 of the family's 1478-position model. The record is from RNAcentral. Lineage: Archaea; Methanobacteriati; Methanobacteriota; Methanobacteria; Methanobacteriales; Methanobacteriaceae.
GGGGCGCAGCAGGCGCGAAAACUUUACAAUGCGAGCAAUCGUGAUAAGGGAACUCCGAGUGCCYGUAAAAUCGGGCUGUCCGCCAGUGUAAAUAACUGGUGAAGAAAGGGCCGGGCAAGACCGGUGCCAGCCGCCGCGGUAAUACCGGCGGCUCGAGUGGUGGCCACUAUUACUGGGCUUAAAGCGUUCGUAGCUGGUCUGUUAAGUCUCUGGGGAAAUCUUCCGGCUUAACCGGAAGGCGUCUCAGGGAUACUGGCAGACUAGGGACCGGAAGAGGUGAGAGGUACUCCAGGGGUAGGAGUGAAAUCCUGUAAUCCUUGGGGGACCACCUGUGGCGAAGGCGUCUCACCAG